RNAcentral lists this long non-coding RNA (624 nucleotides) under Elaeis guineensis (African oil palm). RNAcentral describes it as "long non-coding RNA (EGUI_LNC068292)". Lineage: Eukaryota; Viridiplantae; Streptophyta; Magnoliopsida; Arecales; Arecaceae. The record is from RNAcentral.
UUUGAUCACUAAUUAACUCAAUUUGAUUGAGUAAUUAUUUUUGGAUCAAGUCCAAUUGAAUUGGAUUCAGUUGAGUUUGACCCGAUUAGGUUAAGAGUUGACCUAAUCGUCGAGAUGGUUUGGUCCCUGAUUUGAUCAGGGGUUGGGCUUAGUCAAUUCCUGAUUUGAUUAAGAUUUUAUUGAGCCUAAUAAAGCCUAAUUAAGUUGGGUUUAAAUUAGUCUAAUUGGGCCUAGCUUAUUUUAAUUAAAUUGGUUCAAUUAGGUUAGUUUAAAAUGAGAAACCACCUUGACCCAAACUCCCUGCGCCACCUCACUUCUUCUGCGCCCAUUUGAAUUCACGAGAAGGAACUUCUCAUGAAUUUUCUCCCACGCCCAUCCUUUCUAUGCCAAAUGGAUAGAUAAAGAUGAUUGGUUGGCCAUUCAAAUCCAAAUAAAGUUUGAAUUUAAAUGGGCAACCAACCAACUCUAUGCGCCCCCUCUUAUUUUGUGCGCCACUUUAUUUACACGAGAAAGAGUUUCUCGUGUAAACUCUCCAUGCACAAAUGAUGCCACGCCCCUUCUCUUCUCAUGCCCAAGUGGAUAGGGAUGAGUUGGUUUGCAUUUGAAUUCAAAUAUGCAACCACU